UACGGGGGGAGCAAGCGUUGUUCGGAAUUACUGGGCGUAAAGGGCCAGUAGGCGGCCAACUAAGUCCGACGUGAAAUCCCCAAGCUUAACUUGGGAACUGCGUCGGAUACUGGAUGGCUUGAAUUCGGGAGAGGGAUGCAGAAUUCCAGGUGUAGCGGUGAAAUGCGUAGAUAUCUGGAGGAAUACCGGUGGCGAAGGCGGCAUCCUGGACCGACAUUGACGCUGAACGGCGAAAGCUAGGGGAGCAAACGGG
Molecule: ribosomal RNA, 253 nt
Filed under: uncultured bacterium
Lineage: Bacteria
Description: partial 16S ribosomal RNA
Rfam family: Bacterial small subunit ribosomal RNA
Source: RNAcentral